RNAcentral lists this ribosomal RNA (495 nucleotides) under uncultured bacterium. RNAcentral describes it as "bacterial SSU rRNA". It matches the Rfam family "Bacterial small subunit ribosomal RNA", at positions 903 to 1397 of the family's 1533-position model. The record is from RNAcentral.
AAAUGAAUAGACGGGGGCCCGCACAAGCAGCGGAGCAUGUGGUUUAAUUCGAAGCAACGCGAAGAACCUUACCAAGGCUUGACAUCCUCUGCAAUUCAUGGAAACAUGAAGUUCCCUUCGGGGACAGAGAGACAGGUGGUGCAUGGUUGUCGUCAGCUCGUGUCGUGAGAUGUUGGGUUAAGUCCCGCAACGAGCGCAACCCUUGUCCUUAGUUACCAGCAAGUGAAGUUGGGGACUCUAGGGAGACCGCCGGGGAUAACUCGGAGGAAGGUGGGGACGACGUCAAAUCAUCAUGCCCCUUAUGUCUUGGGCUACACACGUGCUACAAUGGUCGUAACAAAGGGAAGCGAACCCGAGAGGGGGAGCGGAACUCAAAAAAGCGAUCCCAGUUCGGAUUGUGGGCUGCAACCCGCCCACAUGAAGUCGGAGUUGCUAGUAAUCGCGAAUCAGCAUGUCGCGGUGAAUGCGUUCCCGGGCCUUGUACACACCGCCCGU